AGGAGCGGAUCUUCCGCUAAAGUCAUGCACGUCCUGUGUAUAACGCGGAAGUCACCACAUCCUGUGGA
RNAcentral lists this small RNA (68 nucleotides) under Sporolactobacillus nakayamae. RNAcentral's name for it is "Bacillaceae-1 RNA". It matches the Rfam family "Bacillaceae-1 RNA". Lineage: Bacteria; Bacillati; Bacillota; Bacilli; Caryophanales; Sporolactobacillaceae. The record is from RNAcentral.